RNAcentral lists this ribosomal RNA (406 nucleotides) under uncultured bacterium. RNAcentral describes it as "bacterial SSU rRNA". It matches the Rfam family "Bacterial small subunit ribosomal RNA", at positions 354 to 776 of the family's 1533-position model. The record is from RNAcentral.
GUCGGGAAUAUUGCGCAAUGGAGGAAACUCUGACGCAGUGACUCCGCGUAUAGGAAGAAGGUUUUCGGAUUGUAAACUAUUGUCGUGAGGGAAGAGAAAGGACAGUACCUAAGGAGGAAGCUCCGGCUAACUACGUGCCAGCAGCCGCGGUAAUACGUAGGGAGCGAGCGUUAUCCGGAAUUAUUGGGGGUAAAGGGUGCGUAGACGGGAAUACAAGUUAGUUUUGAAAUCCCUCGGCUUAACUGAGGAACUGCAACUAAAACUAUAUUUCUUGAGUGCAGGAGAGGUAAGUGGAAUUACUAGUGUAGCGGUGAAAUGCGUAGAUAUUAGGAGGAACACCAGUGGCGAAGGCGACUUACUGGACUGUAACUGACGUUGAGGCACGAAAGUGUGGGGAGCAAACAGG